This is a microRNA precursor of Caenorhabditis elegans, 110 nucleotides long. The record is from Ensembl. Lineage: Eukaryota; Metazoa; Nematoda; Chromadorea; Rhabditida; Rhabditidae.
AGUUACGGCGGGUUUUGCAAGCGCCGGCGAGAGAGGUGGAGAGCGCAGAGAAAGCAGUCGCGCUAGCUGUCGGCGCCCUCCACUCUCUCGCCGCGGCUGACAAAUACGCU